RNAcentral lists this ribosomal RNA (407 nucleotides) under uncultured bacterium. Its description in RNAcentral is "partial 16S ribosomal RNA". It matches the Rfam family "Bacterial small subunit ribosomal RNA", at positions 28 to 526 of the family's 1533-position model. The record is from RNAcentral.
GACGAACGCUGGCGGCGUGCCUAAUACAUGCAAGUCGAACGCAGUUGCGAACGGGUGAGUCACGCGUAUGUAACUGCCUCAUAGCGGGGGGUAACUAUUGGAAACGAUAUCUAAUACCGCAUCCUUUGAGCUGGAUCUGCUUUGUAUUAGCUAGUUGGUGGGGUAAAGGCUCACCAAGGCCACGAUACAUAGCAGACCUGAGAGGGUGAUCGGCCACACUGGAACUGAGACACGGGCCAGACUCCUACGGGAGGCAGCAGUAGGGAAUCUUGGGCAAUGGACGGAAGUCUGAUCGAGCAACGCCGCGUGAGUGAAGAAGGUUUUCGGAUCGUAAAGCUCUGUUGUUAGAGAAGCGGUAACUAAACAGAAAGGGACGGCUAACUACGUGCCAGCAGCCGCGGUAAUAC